AUUGAUCUAACCUUUCCAAAAAGUCCAAUUUCAUCCAUUUUGGACAAGAUUUGAAUGGGCUGCACAUGGCUUGAACAUUGUAUCAUCAUUUGGCAAAAUCAAACUUCAAACUUCCAUGUACAUUUGUCUUGCAUUCCAAGUUGAUUUUAGACUUGCUCACACUCAAUUAUGGAUCAAAUGGAAUGAUCUCAUGGGCAUGUACACGUCCAUGCACACAUGCAUCACUCAUUGCCAAUUUUGGAAACUCAAUUGUAAGGUGCAAAUAUCAUGUGAUUCAGCUAUAAAUAGAGGCUCAUAUGCUCAGAAUUAAGGACUCCUUCGCGCGAGCUUUGAUCCCAAACAUAAAACCCUUCCAUUUGAUAGGAUAAUCCUGACAAUUUCCUUUGGAAAUUGAGUUUGAAUCUCACUGUUUUGAGAUUCAAAACUCCAGGGAUCCAAGACCUUUUGUACAUUUUAAUCUACUUCUGCAAGCAUCCUAAGAAAUAUCAAGCACAAGCCAAAGCAAGAACAAGUGAAUCCAGACCUGCAUUGAAGGUAUUUUCCAGAAAAUUUCAUCUCUUCGAUUCUCACUCAAUUCUCCAUAAUUCUCUUGGAUCCUUGGUAGUCUGAAGUCCUAGCAAUAUAGGCAACAAGAUUGAGUUGCUUUGAGGUCAAAUUGAAGCAACUCAGAUCAUGCACCUCAAAUUUCAACUCCUUGUAUCUCUCAAUAUACUUGGAGUUGGGAUAAAUUGAGGCCAGAUUCGUGCUCAGUGCCAUUUUCACUUUAAAAUCAUGUCCUCUAUUUUUAUUUUAGUGAAGGUUAUGAUUGGACCAGUCCGGCGAGGCUCGCCUGAGAAGGAGACCGGAGAUUUGCUCUGGUGGUGAGUUAGCAAGGUCCAGAGCCACAUGAUCUGUUUGAUUUGUUCUAAUCACGAGUGUUGGUUUGAAUUACCAAGUUUGUGGCGCGCUGACUAGAGUCCACAAUGGAUUGCGCGUUUGUGGCCACUUGAUUUACCACCUCAAUUAAUGAAAUUUUUCUACAAGGUCCUUUAACCUUGUUUGACCUAUGAUAAAUCUCAUCGUCAUUUCUUUGGUGUCAAUUUAAUGCAUAUUUUAGUUGAUUUUAAUUGAAUAAAUGUCAAAUAAAUUGUGUUGAGCUUCUAUUAUUGACUUAUUGAGUUUGACUUGUGUUGUUGGGCCUUGGUCAAGGUUGAUUUUACUUUUCUAAGUUAAGAUCAUUGGAUUUAGGGGAAUGAUGAAAUGUACAUUUCAUCUCCCAAAAUGAAUGAAUGAUCUUAAUUUGGUAAAAGUCCUUGUUUUACCAAUUUGUGUUGAUUUCAUUCCCCCUCCCUCUUGAUCUCAUUACUCUUCUUUAUUCAUUCAUGUCAUGGACCUAUGAUAUCUCUAUAUCCUAAGGCUAGUUGAUUGCAAAAUCAACAUGAGUAUGGAUGAGAUUAGAUCCACCACACUUUUGCAUAUUCUUUUUGCGUGUGGUAUCUUUCGUGAGCAUAGUCCAUUAUAUUAUGUCUCUAACAUGCAUUAACACCAAACUUCUAUUGCCUGGUCUCAAAUAGUUGUGAAUUCUGCAUAAGUCCAAUUACGAUUGCUUAACAUAACGCUAAAUUUGUGACACAAAAGGCAUAGCAUUCUAGUAAGUAAGAUUGUAAGUCUCCCCUCUUUCAUGGUAUUGUAUGGAAACUUGGCCUUUUUUUCCUUCCUUUGGAAGAUGUCUUGGUUCAAGGAUCCAUGCAUGUGAAUAGUGGGUUGAGUGUUCUCCAAAGAAUGACUUAAACAAUACAAAGCAAAAGCAAUACUAACUUCUAAUCAACUAACAACUAACCUUUAAUUUCAAGCCAUUUACUUUUAUGCACUUUAAUUUCAAGCUUUAUUCAUUUGCCAUUAUUCAUACCGUUCAAUUUAUUUACUUUAAUGCCAUUUUCAAUUUUCCACUUGGGCCAUAAUUUGUGAUAUAUUGUGUUUGUAUAUACUUGUUUGUUUGUAUGGUCUUUUGACCUUAAUGUACAUAAUAAAAACAAAAACCCUAAAAGACAUUUGUGCGGACUGUUGGAUUUGAUCUGAGACAAUGGACUUAGAAUUAGGAAACACUCCCUAUGCAAAAGGACUUGUCCAAUGCCAACUUUCAUGAAACCAAGUGCUUGUGAAGUGAAUUUUCAACUGAAGCAAGUAUUGUGAUCCCAUCUGAGUUCAUCUGUUACAUGGUCUUAUUGAAGCUGUUACUUUGAACCUGUGUCUAAUGCCUACUUUUGGAAGUCAUCUGAUGCAUGGGAAAUUUUGAAGAAGAUCAUGGAGUUGCUAAGCUUGGAUGGGGCUAUCUUUAUUUGAUGCCUUGAUCUUCAUCUUUCUAUUUGUGUAUUGAUAUUGCUUGAUUCUAAAGUCCAAGGGAAAUUUGGGUUUCUAUAUGACAUUCUUGUCUAUUGGAUUGCAGCCCAUUGGUUAGAUAUUUUCAACUCUUAACUUUUAAAUUUGUGCUUAGGAUUAGUAUCUUCAUCUCUCCCCCAUUUAUUUAAUUUCAAAUCUCUCUCUACUUUCAAAAAUCUUCUUUGCUAGUGUUUGUUUUCUAAACUUAUACCAUUUUGCAAAUUAGAAACUUUGGCCUUAUGCCAUUGCAUUUUUAAAACUCUUUUCUUUGUCAAAUUUGUAAAUGAACUUAACUAUACUUGACUUAAAAUUUCAAAAGCGAAAAAGAACUAACACUCAUUCCAACCAUUUUUAGGCCUCUUGUGCCUUUGUUAAACUUAAAUUUUGUUAAAAGAAAUCCACUCACUUUGAAAUUGAUACCACAAACUACGAGGUUUUGAUCCCUCAUUUUAUGUUGGUACGUAGGCAUAAGUCUGAAGGUCUUAUCAAACACAAAAAUACAAUUAAUGAAUUAUUUUCUCAUCCCCCCACUCUAUUUAUUGCAAACAUCAUUUGGUACAAAAACACAUAUGCACACAAGAAAGGGCUCCCUAGGAGUACCUAGGACACUUUGGGUGCUAACACCUUCCCUCUGUGUAACCAACCCCCUUACCUGUAAUCUCUGGCAUUUUAUUAGUUUUGAUAGGGUGCUAACACCUUCCCUCUGUGUAACCAACCCCCUUACCUGUAAUCUCUGGCAUUUUAUUAGUUUUGAUUUGAAAAUUUCUUAUUUUUGGGUUUUGUUCGUACUUUUCCCUUUUCCCUUGGAAACGAUAAAAGCGCGAUGGCGACUCUGGUUUUAUUGACGUCUAGCUUAUCUAUAGCUUGAUGGUCAUGAAUUUACCGCCAUAGAAAUUAAGUGGCGACUCUACUGGGGAGUAGUCUCCAGUGGGUUUAGCCUACUUUUUCGUGUGUAUAUAAUUGUAUAUUUUGAUGUAUGUAUAUUUGUUUGUGUGAUAUAAUGUACUUGUUGUGCUUGGUGAUCUCUGAGUGGUGAAAUAAGUUCUAACAUGGACUUGAGUGAAAUUACGAUAAGAGGAUGGUAUAGUCAUGUUCGACUUGUGUGGAGUAGUCCUUAACAAGUUGGAUUGAGACCCAUCUACUCAGUGGAUACCCUUUUGGAGUUAUGAAUGUUACACAAGUUAUUUGUGGUUAGGCAUUACUUCCUCUGAUUUGGGGUCCGAGAAGUUGAGGACCGUAGAACAUUUAACCCAUCUUGGCCUAUUUAAGACGUAGUGCGGAGACUGUUCAAAUGUAGACUUGAUAAUAGUUGUCACGCGAUACUACACUCAGACGAGUUUCUCUUGAGAUAUUAUGGGUUGAUGAGUCAGUCAUCCUAACUUGUAAUAUCCGAUAGAUGGAAUUAAGACUCUGGGAACUUUUUAGAACAUGAUCUACAGGUUCUUAUCCUUAGUACACUCCUUUGGGAUGGUUCUUACCCAGACUCCAUGCUCGUGACUCACAACAAACCCUUUGAUUCUUGGUUGAUCCAAUCAAGUCUUGUCAAUAUCAAUGGAACUUAGGUGUUGAUAAGGCGAAAAACAUAAUCCACUAAAAUGGAUGAUUGAUCUUGACAAUGCCUUGAUUCAUCCCUUGACCUUUGUUUGGUUUCCUUGUGUGUGAUCCCUUAUUUGUGAUUGUUGCAUUCAUGCAUUCAUGCGCAUCAUAACAUUCAUCACACGAAAAAUAAUUUCAAGAAACUGAGGUCUUAUUUGUAACUAUUUUCAGACCAUGGAUUGUGGACGUAGGAACACUAAGAAGUACAGUUUUAGAAGUCCGGAUUUGAAAGAGUUAAGGAAGGUAUCAUCUUUUGUAUUAGGUCUCUUGGACUUCAAGCUACGUCAUGGGAAGCUUCUAUCUAUUUUGUGUGCUGAUGUGGUUGAAGGAAUUUUGAGUGUGUUGGUUCAGUUAUAUGACCCUCUCUACCGUUGCUUCACUUUUCCUGAUUAUCAGCUUGUGUCUACGUUGGAGGAGUAUUCCCGUCUGUUGGGAAUACUUGUUUCUGACAUAGUGCCUUUUAGUGGAUUGGAAGAGAUUCCCAGAUCUCAUCUUAUAGCUGAAGCUCUUCAUCUGAAGAAGUCUGAGAUAGAGGCUCAUUGGGUGAAGAAAGUAGGAUUAUUUGGGUUGACUUCUGAUUUCCUCAUCAAGGAAGCUACUGCCUUUGCUCAAGCCGGUAGUGUGGACGCUUUUGAAACCAUCUUUGUGCUGCUCAUCUAUGGAUUAGCUUUGUUCCCUAACAUUGACGGUUUUGUUUAUGUUAACGUCAUUAGAAUAUUCUUGAUUGGGAAUCAUGUGCCUACUCUUUUGGGUGAUAUGUACUUAUCUUUCCAUCUAAGGAAUUCUAAGGGUGGUGGAACUAUCGUCUUUGCGUUCCUCUUCUGUACAAGUGGUUUAUUUUGCACUUGUCUCAGACGCCUACUUUUGUGGAGAAUAAACAAUGUCUAAGGUGGUCUCAGAGACUUAUGUUUCUCACUAAUGAUGAUAUAGUUUGGUAUGAUUCUUCAUUGGGUAGCUUGGAGAUUAUUGACAGUUGUGGUGAAUUCUCUAAUGUACUUCUCAUUGGUACACAAGGAGGAAUCAACUAUAACUCUACUUUGGCUCGUCGUCAACUUGGAUUCCCCUUCAGAGAUAAACCUAAUAACACUUUGUUAGAAGGUCUUUUCUAUCAAGAGGGUAAAGAUCCCCAUCGUUUGAAGCAGAAUAUUAUGCAUGCUUGGCAUAAUGUGCAUAAGAAAGGAAGAUCCGAGCUUGGUCCGCGCAAUUGUGUAGCUUUGGAAGCUUACACUCUUUGGGUGAAGAAGAGAGCUUUGGAGUUGAAGAUGCCUUAUGCUUGUGAAAGACCUGUGUCUAUGGUUGUGGUUGAGCCAUUAACUCUCCCUAACCAAGAUGUAGUGGAGUUGGAAUACGCGCUCGCCAAGAUGAAGCAAGAGAAGGAUAGGUGGGAAGAUCGUUUCCAUGCUUUGAGUAGAAAGCAUGAGGAGUUGUAGCUUGAGUCUAAGGACAAAGAUGCACUUAUUGAGCUUCUUGAAGAUCGGGUAAUGAAGAGACAGAGAGAACUAGAGGGUCCAUCUUCCUCUAGUAUGUCUCAGCCUUCCAUCGCUUGGAAGAAGAUUGUUGAUCAACUUGUCCUUGAGAAGGCUCAGAUGAAGACUUCUUUUGAAUCCGAGAUUCGACGCAUUCGAAGGAAGUAAGCACCUACAGUUAGAUCUUCUAAUGUUGUUAUUAGGGAUCCUUAGAAUGACUAGUCUCCUUUUCUCUUGUAUUUUGUACUUUUGGAUUCUGAAAUUGUACUCAGUGUAAUCCUUCCAAUUAUAUAAAUAAAAGAGAUUUUUAUGGUCAAUCAAAUUGUUGCAAUCGUUUUUAUCAUAUAUAUUUGAAAAUAAUAUAGUAAGUUCCUUGGAAAAUAAAAACAAUCAAGCAUUGCAUUUCAUGCAUCAUUUGCAUACAGGUUUCUCUUCCGCCAGAUGUCUUAUUGGUAUUUCUUAUGUGCUUCAGCCAAGCUGACUCAUCGAUACAAUACUCGCGCAAAUCACUCAAGGAUCAUGGAACAUCUGGAGCAAGAGAACAGAGAUUUGAAGGACGAGAUCGCCCGCUUGACUGCCAUGAUGGAGUCAGUGUUAGCCGCUCAUAGCCAAUCUUCUCCAACACCUGCAACUCCUCCUCCUCAGAGGACUGUUAUUUCCGAGGUUGCUACCUCUAUCAUUCCUGCUACUGCUGCUCACUUUGCACCGGCCAUGUGUCGCAUCUCGAAAAAUACGAUUCCUCGCGAUGGUCGCGGAAAAAAUUAAUGUUCGAAUAGAGUUGCCAUCGAACUUAAUUUAUCCCAAUGAAGGGAUAGUAAAAUAUCGAUAAAACCUUUAGGAAAUGGAAUAAUGGUCGUCGCAACCAUAUUCGAGUUCGGGAGUGGAUUACGUAAGGGGAAGGUAUUAGCACCCCUUACGUCCGUUGUACUCAACGGGAACCUUUAAACCUUUAGGAAAUGGAAUAAUGGUCGUCGCAACCAUAUUCGAGUUCGGGAGUGGAUUACGUAAGGGGAAGGUAUUAGCACCCCUUACGUCCGUUGUACUCAACGGGAACCUUUUAGUUCUAAUGUGCGUUUCAUGUGUUAAUUUAUGUUUGUUUGUUAUUUUUGGGUUAUACAAUUGUAAAAAAUAGAAAUGGACGAGAACCUCAGAAAGGGAAAGGGGAGGUUUUUUAUUAGUGUGCUCGCGAAGGUACAACAAUCUCCUACCUACGUAUCCUUAUGGUAUAAUAAGGAAAUCAGAGCAUUCGUAGUUCGGGGAACUACGAUUGGUUGGUGUUUUUUAAUGAACAACUGUUUAGACUGCGUUUCUAAAGGCUAAACGUUGGCUUGUCUAGUCUCGGCGGAGGCUUAAGCACUAGUUUGCUGUGCGCAUUAGAAAGGAUUAACAAUGUUCUUUCUGAAAAUAGUUUUGGUCACAUGGGGGUGACAAGUUGGACUAAUAUGUUGGAUGUUUUGAUUGGUUGAGAUGUUUUUGGUUGAAUGACGAUUACUCUGAUAGUUGAGUAAGACAACUCGUAUCCUAACAGUCGGGAAAGGGAAUAGAAGACUCUAGACCACUUUCUUUUUCAUCCUUAAUUAUAGAAAGGAUUUGAUAAUAAUUAGGGUGUUUUGAGUGGAUGACGAAUACUCGGAUAAUCGAGUAAGACAACUCGUAUCCUAAUAAUCGGGAAAGGGAAUAGAAGACUCUAGACCGCUUUCUGUUUCAUUCUUAAUUAUAAAAAGGAUUUGAUAAUUGUAAGACCCCAAUUUUGACCCUAAGAUCCCUCAUGGCAUCAUUACAUUGCAUUUACAUUGCCUCAAGGAUCAUGAGCGUCUUGGUUCCCUUUGCCUUUGGGUGGGAUCUCUUGAGAUGUGGUUUGAGAUCACCAAGCAUGCUUGAAUUGUAUAUUAUUGCUUUCCUCAUUUCUUUUAUUAACUCAAAAGCACAAAAAUAUGUCACUAACAUCUUUUAUUUGUAGCUUGAGCAGUCACAAGGUCUAAAGCUUCUAGGAGAUCCUUUGUGCAAUGAUAUGGUCAAGAGAAGAUGAAAGCAAGCAUGGUAAUGGUUCCGAAAGCUCUCAUCCAUCAAAUAUGCCUCCCAAGUAUCUCAAUUCAUCAUUUUGAUCAAAGCAAGUCAAAGGGUUUGAGGUUUGUUUCCCAAGGAAACCUUAAUUCAUAUAUUCAUCAACUGUGCCUUGCUCUUGAAGAAACCUCAACCCAUGGUCAAAAAAAAAUCAAGGGAAGUUCUUUAAUUCAUCAUUUCAUGCAUUUUUGAACUUAUUUGAGUGUCCUCAAUCAUAAGUUCAUCAAGAUAUAAGUUUUGGACUUGAGAAGUUGAUCAGUCAAUUCAUCUGACCAUUUUGAAAUGCAUUGAGACCUAACUUUUUAUGUGUUAGUCCAAUGGAGAUGACCCCAAGAGAAAUAUUGUUAUUAAGGACAAUAUGAACAACUUUCAUGUUCAUCAAAAUUUAAUUUGAAGCUUGGAAGGUCAUCAUCCAUUCCAAGACAUUAUAGGUCAUUUUGACUGAAACCCUAAUUUUGGGUCAACUUCCCAAGGACCUAAGUCCUUCAUUUUUCAUGAUUUGGAGGUGGGAUCAAAUGAAUUGGAAAGCUUAAUGUUUGUAAUUCAAAUGUUAUGUUGAGAAAAAUUACAAAAUCCCAAAAGAAAUACAUGUGAUAAUGCAAAACAUUAUAGGUCACUUUGGGCCAACUGCAUUGAAAUGUGAAAAAGUCCAACUUCAAGUGCCCAUAACUUCAUCAAAAAUCCAAAUGAUGCAAAAUUUAAGUCCAAAUUUAUUUUCUUGAAAAUAUCUACAACUUUCAUGUUGAAGAUUGUAUUAUUUGGAGCUUGCAUCAUUGAGACAGAGGGGCUUGAACAUUGGCCAAUUUUGGAAAUUUCACAUAUGCAUGUUUUGCACCUUACACUUCAAGCUUAAUUUUCAUUAAUUUCCAAGGCCCAAUUGGAUUUUUGAUCAACAUAGCAUUUGUUCCUUAUGCAAUAAGCUUUCCAACCAUUACCCAUAAGCCUAUGUUUCAAUUUUGGAAGUAUUAUUUUCGAAGAGGAGAACUUUUUAGUGCAUUUUUGGAAACUUGAUUCAAUUGCCAUGCAUGAGCUCACACAACCUAAUUUGCACGUCCAUUUCAUUCAUUUAUGAUAUAAGCCUGCAAUUCCAAUCAGAAUUGGGCCCUCCAUGCGCCUGUACAGGCCCAUGCAUGAAGGCCCUCUUCUCCGAUGCACACUUUGUUCAUGCAUAUCAGUUGGCUUUGGCUAUAAAUACAUGGCAUGUGAGCUCUUAUUUCUUAACCUGAAGGCACCUGAACCUCUGCUGAACUCAAAACCUACCCUCACCAAAGGAACUUUUCUCUUUCUUUCAAAAAUAUCAGAUCUGAAAUUCAAUUGCAUCGAUUGAUUUUUAAGAUCCAUAGUUCCUAGACCUCUUCAGCUUGAUCCAUAGAAGCUUCUGUUUGCAAAAGAACUCAAAGAUAGUGACUCAAUUCAGCUCAAUUCCAAGGUUUUGCUCAACUGCAUUUUGCUUCAAAACAGCUCAUAUAUUGUUCCAUUUGCCUUGAUUUUGUGUGAUUUGAAGUCCUCUGCAUAGAGGCAUCAUUAUUGUGUUCUUAAUUUUUGAAAUCAAGCAAGUUCAGUUGAACACCACCAAAGUUCCAUCUCUGAUUUCUCUCUCAAUAGGGAUCUAGAGUGGAAUUGAGUAAUAGAGGCAUCAUUAUUGUGUUCUUAAUUUUUGAAAUCAAGCAAGUUCAGUUGAACACCACCAAAGUUCCAUCUCUGAUUUCUCUCUCAAUAGGGAUCUAGAGUGGAAUUGAGUGGCAUAGGAGUGACGUACAUCACUCCACCUUUCAUUUGGUACCUGGAUCGUGCGUUUUGGUGCACAUUUGUUCUUCUACAAAUUUGAGCUCUCACCGGAGCUAUCCGGAGAAGACGGUGGCGCUGACCCCUGUCUGGUCUCCAGAUCCAAUCGUGGUCGUCCAUUUUCAUUUCCAGAUUAGAUUUAGGUUGUCCGAUGUUAUGACCAUUUUUAAUUGUUUGUGUGGUUGCAUUGACUCACGUGUAUUAUGGAAGCGUGCUCAGAUCCGUCUGAUCUGCCAGGUCAAUUAAUGAACUGGAUCCAACGCCUCUCCUUUUUUCUUAUUUUUAAUUUCUGAUUUCUAUUUUCUUUUAUUUCUUUUAAUUCCAUUUUAUUUCUAAAAUCCAUAUCUCUUUCAUUAUUGGUCCAAAAAUUAUGGGACCAAUUGCAUUAUUUCUCUUUUAAUUUCUAGUUUCUAAAAAUGAUUUUUAAUAUUUUUUAUUUUGUCAUUUGCUAUUUUUUAAUAAUUUUCUCUUUUCUGGUUAUUUUUAAUUCAUUUUAAAUAGUUUUUCAGAUCCAAAAAAUACCAAAAUAUUUUCUCAACCUCUUUGAACGAUGAUAGAUCUAUGAAAAAUAUUUUCAUCAAUUUAUUAAUUGAUUUGAGAUUUAUUUGAGAUUUUAGUUCAAUUAGGUUAUUUUUAUGCAUUUUUAAUUGAUCAAAAAUAGUUUCUGACUUUUAUAAAUGUUGAAAUUUUUUGUCAAACUUUUUUUGACCUUGUUGAACUUAGGAUAAUUCACUUGGACUUUUCAAAGUUGAUUUGAAGUGAGUUUGAAGUUUGACCUUUCUUUAAUAUUUUAAUUCAAGUUUUAUUUUAAAUAUUAAAAAAUGCCAAAAAUAUUUUGUUUAUUUCUUGACUUCUAAUCUUCAUUUUGCUUCUGUUUUCUAUUGUUUGACCUUGAUCUUCUCUAUCUUUGGUCAUAGCUUGUUGAUUAUCUCAUUCCAUUUCAUUUAAUGCACUUUAAUUCUUCAUGUCUAUUCUUNAGAUUGUUGGCGAACACUUGCCUACGUACCUCUUAAACAAGAUUAGGAUCAAAACCGUCUGUAGUUGGCGUAAAAAUUCAAAAUUGAGUUGGUGAAUUGAUUUGGUCCGAAAGCACUUAAAGGUACUUUUUGUGUUGAUCCAAGGGAGAAAAACUCAAACCUAAAACACAACCCACCAUGUGCAGGAUUAGCUUAACAUGUUAUGAGGGGGUUUAACCCUAUACGAUAAGCAUGGAAGACACAUUGUCCAUCACUAAGGAUAUAGGUGAGUAUUACGAGUCCUAACCUCAAAGCAUAACUCAAGAGCCUGAAUACGCUAAAGGUUUAAAAGAUUUAAUUAAGAAAGUGGCCAUUGAAACCACAAAAGUAUUUGAAUGAUGGUAUUUACGCAAAUGAAUAAGAUAUUUGACAAAAUAUGGUCAAAGGUGAUUUAGAAGUUCAAUUCAAAAAUAAGUGUUAUGAAAAAAGUUUGGGAAAAUCAAAAAAAGCCAUAAGGCUUAGGUUUCCUAAAUGUUGAAAACAAGGUUAAAUGUUGCAAACAAAAGUUUUGGUUUGGGUUUAGAAGGGAGAAGAAGAAUGAAUGGCAAAGUCCUAAUCAUACAUGAAGAGACAAGGGAUAAGAAAACAAGACCAACAAAUGGAGUUCCCUCUCUUUGACGAUCGAUAUUGAUGAAAUCAAGUAGCUCCCAUCUUGGAAUAUGCAAGCAAAAAUUUAAUAGUCGCUCAAGCAAUCAACACAUCAAACAAGCUCCUUAGGCGAAUCCUCAAUGUAUCUGGUUGUAUCUUUCACUUGGAUGAACAUUGGCAAUGGUUCCUUUUAACUCUUGAGCUCUCAUAGGAUCCCCUAGCACAAAAAGCACACACAUCAAAAAGUUCUAUGAAAGUAAAUCAAGAAUGGAACAAGAGUGUUGAGUUUGGGUCCUUCUAGUCCAUCUCAACAUUAAAGGUCCUUGUUACUCCAAUUUGCCAUAGGAAAGUUCUAGAAACUAAGUCGCAUUUGUCCAUAUUCUUUGCAUUUGGUCCACAAACAAUCAAAACAAAAACACAAGCACAAUUAAUUAUACUACACAAUUACGUGUGCUCAAAGUGAGCAAGAAGCAAUUGCAUUAAACAUACAUGUGCUAAAUGAGCAGAAGGGAAAAGAAAUGAUAUAUGUAAGAUAUAGUUAAAUUGAUAAAGUAAGUGCAAGAGUAAAUGUUAAUGGUUAAUUGUUAGUGUUAGUAGUUCAGGUGUCAUAGGCAUUUAAGCGCUAUGUUAAGCAAAUCGUAAUGGAGUUAUUGUGAAGUCACACUAUCUGAGGCGGUUAAUAGUAUAUUUAUGGCAACACAACAAGGUUAGAGGUCUUGAUUGUGAAUCAACACUCUACAACUUGCCAUGGCGCAGAAAGAAGAUGAGAAUGAUCUUGUUUGGUUUAGGUCCUUUUGCAUGUUUUAGAAAGCAAUCUUCCGUUAAUGGAAAGCCAUUCACUUUGAUCAUGUGAUCAAGUGAUUAGAUUUGAAUUCAAGGAAGAUUAAAACCUCCCUAUCAAUGCUAACCAUCGAACCUUUAACUCAUUGAUAAAAAAAGAAAAGAAGAAGAGAAGAAGAUGAAGAAAGUGAAAGAUAGCAUGAAGAAUUAAAGUGCAGCUUAAAUGAUCUCUUGUAUGAUUAGGACUUUAGCCAUUCUUCUUCUUCCCUCCACUCUAACCCAAACCAAAACUUUUGUGCAAACAUUUAACACUUGUUUUCAAACAUUAGAAACCUAAGCCUUAUGCUUUUGAUUUCCAAACUUUCUUUUCAUAACACUUAUUUUGAAUUGAACUUCUAAAUCAACUUUGACCAUAUUUUGUAAAUACUUUUCAUUGGUAAAUACCAUUCAUUCAAAUACUUUUGUGGUUUCAAUGGCCACUUUCUUAAUUAAAUCUUUUAUAACCUUUAGCUAUUAGGUUUGAGUUAUGCUUGAGGUAGAUGUAAUACUCACCUAUAUCCUUAGUGAUGGACAAUGAGUCUUCCAUGCUUAUUAUAGGGUUAACCCCUCACUAACAUGUUGAAGCUAUCCUCACAUGGUGGGUUUGUGGUUUUAGGUUGAGUUUUCUCCCUUGGAUAACAAAAGACCUUAAGGCUUUUGGACCAAUCAAUUCACCAACUCAUUUUUUGAAAUUUUUACCCCAAACUACGAGGUUUUGAUCCUAAUCUUUUUUAAGAUGGUACGUAGGCAAUGGGUUUAUCCAUCCAAACACAAAAAUGUAAAUAACUUGCAUAUUCUCUUCUCAUCUCUUCAAUCAUGUUUGCACAAACAAAUUUUCACAAAAUACCAACCUUACAACAAGUGUGAAAAGGGCUCCCUAGGAGUACCUAGGAUGUUUUGGGUGCUUAAAACCUUCCCAUUGCAUAACCAACCCCCUUACCCCGAUCUCUGACAUUUUUACUAGUUUUUAAUUCGAUAAAAUUUUUAGGUUUUUAUUCGCUUUCUAACCAUUCCUUUGAAUAAAUAGAAGUGCGGUGGCGACUCGACUUGUAUGGUUUACCUUAGAUUUAGUCAAUAUCUCUAAUGGUAACGAAUACCCCACUACAAUAAUAAUUAAGGUGUUUUGAAUGGAUGACGAUUACUCGGAUAAUCGAGUAAGACAACUCGUAUCCUAAUGGUCGGAAAAGGGAAUAGAAAACUCUAGACCACUUUCUCUUUCAUCUGAGUGGUUAUGAAAAUAAGUUUACGUAUGGUUGAUGUAUUUUUAGAAUAGACGACAAGUACUUGAAUGGUUGAGUAAGACAACUCAUAUCCAAGCAUUUGAGGAGAGGAAUCUAAGGCUCAAGACCAUCUCCCUUUUCGUAUAGUUUGUUAUGAAAAUGAUUUGAUUAAGUUGUAUGUUUGUGGAAAAAUGACAAUUGCUCGACUGGCCGAGUAAGAGAACUCGUAUUCAAGCAAUUGAGGAGAAAAGUUGAAAACUCAAAGUCAUCUCCCUUUUCAUUUCUUAUUAUGAAAAUAAUUUGAUUUAGUCGGGUUUGGAAGUUUGUAGAGGAACGACAAUUAUUUGACUAACCAAGUAAGAGAACUCGUAUUCAAAUAAUCGAGGAGAAAAAUUGAAGACUCAAAGUCAUCUCCCUUUUCCUUUCUUAUUAUAAAAGAGUUUGAUUUAUUUGUUCUUAAGUGGGUGGAAGUGACGACUAUUUGACUAACCGAAUAAGAGAACUCGUAUUCAAAUAAUCGAGGAGAGGAAUUGAAAACUCAAAGCCACCCCCCUUUUCAUUUCCAAAUGAAAUGUUGUUUGAUUGUGAUUGGAUACGUUCUUUUAAUUUUUAAUGAAAAUACUCGACAUUGGAUUGAGGUUUUGAUUUUGUGUUUAUGAAUGAAAUGAAUUUUAUUUUAGUGUAUUAUUCUUCUACUCGAUUAAUUAAUAACUGGAUAGGUCUCAUUGUAAGAAAGCCCAAGAGUAAGCUAUGUGAGGUUGAUGGCGAUACUUUUACAAGUAAUCGACUUACAAAGGCGUUUUGAAAAUGGGCUCGACUUUGAAUCGAGAAGUAUGUGUUUUAUUUUUUUGAAAUUGGCUCGAAUGAUUUUAAAUUGGUGAUAACGACAUAAUCUCGUCAUAAUUAUAACAUGUCAUCCAUAUGCACUCGAGACUCGGUAUAAAUAAAUAAAUACAAAAUAAUCAUGCACAUACACUCCACAAAAAUCAACAAUUAUCUAAAUUAUAAGUGAUAUUAAUAAUAAUAUAAUUAAUUAAUUAAAUAUUUAGUAGAUUAUUUUGAUUAAAUAAUAAGUAAUUAAAAAAAUGAUGAUAUAACCAAAUAAUUGCAUAUUUAUCAUUAAAUAUUAAUAAUAGUAAUAACAAUAUAAUUGUGUAUUUACUAUUAAGUACUAAUAAUAAUAAUGAUAAUAAUAAUAAUAAUAUAUAAUUAUAACUUUGAAAGAAAGUAAAUAAAAUAAAAUAAAUGAAAUUAAAGUAAAAAAAUAUUUAAAUUUUGUAAAAUAAUUAAACAACUAUCAUUAGGAAUUAAACUAUUAUAUAUAUAUAUAUAUAUAUAUAUAUAUAUAUAUAUAUAUAUAUAUAUUAUAAGUAUAUAUGUAAAAAAUAUAAAUAAAAAAGAAAGAAUAAGUCAAAAAAUAAAGAAAAUGGGCUAGUGGUGGUGAAAAAUUAAUAAAAUAAUUUAAUCAAAUUAAAUCAAAGAUACCGAUGAAUUAAUUUAAAUAAAAUAGGGUCUACUUAGGAUAUUUAAGUAAUUUAGAUUAACAAAAAUAAUUCAGGAUAAUGAGUCAUUAAAUUAAAAAAAUUAGUAAAUUGAAUUGUUAGUUAACUAAUUGAAGCUAAUUGUUAGCUAACAUGAUUAUCUUUUAAAUCCUCCACACAGUAAAACAGAAGAAAAAGAAAUGGGCUAAAACCGAAUUUAAUGAAAAAUAGGAAUAAACAAAUGUGCUUUUUUUGACUGAACAUAUGCUAUAUUCUAAUAUGCAAUGUCACCUAGUAUUCAAAGUUAAUUUAUUGUUUUUUAUUAAUGAUGCAUUGAAUAAAAUAACAAAUAGGGGUGGCUGUCAGCAUAGCCCACACGGUAUCCCCAAGAAAAAUCAAUUACUCACCAUAAGAACCUUCCAUAUACUAACAUAUGACACCUAAUGAUGUUUAAAGAGAAAUAAACAAUAAUAAAUGAAAAUUAAAGUAAUGCUUGGAUAUUUUAAAAAACGUAAGGACGAAAAACGUUCCUUCACAAAACCAAUGCACCUCUUUCUUAAUCUAACACCCUUUCCUCCUAUCCAUUUCUUCUCUCCAAAAGGGUUUAUGAAAAAAAAGUUCAGUUCACCAUCAAGUUUAUCGCACAACAAAAAUAUUCAAACACAAAGAUCUACCUCAAACGAUACAAAACCCCAAAUCUCAAAAUUAGCAACGAAAUUUUGCAAACAAAAGUUUAUCGCACAACAAAAAUAUUCAAACACAAAGAUCUACCUCAAACGAUACAAAACCCCAAAUCUCAAAAUUAGCAACGAAAUUUUGCAAACAACCUCCAAAAGACCCAAAUCGUGACUUUACAAAAAAAAAACUAAAAAUUGAAACAAAUCGAACCAUCAUCAUCAAUAAAUUCAAGCAAUCUAAAGGAGGCUCCUACUCAGUUAAUCACGACAAACAUGCAGGCACAAUCAAUUUGGAUCCAAACAUGAAGAAAUUUACCUGACCGAAGCUAGUUCAACGAAGUUCUCUCCGGCAACCCUCAGAUAACUCUAUUUCCUCUUCUUUUCGGUUUUACGAUGGCCUCCUCCUUCUGUUUUGAUGUUGUGUUAUCCUUUAAUGUUAGGGUUUUUUGUGUUUUUUACAAAAUAUUUUUUGAUUUGUUCUGCUCGGAUCCUCAAAAACGUGUGUUCUGUUUCUUUUGAGUUAACAAAGAAAAGAUUACUUUGACAAUUUCUUCUGGAUUUUAUUAAAACGUGUUACUGUUAAUUAGUUUUGUGGUUUAUAUACAUGAAUGUUGGUUUAUGUGAUAUAACUUGUUGGAUCCUAUUUCCAGAUUUUGUGGUAUGAUUAAUCUAUGGAUUUAAAGUUGUUUAUUUGGAUAAUGCAGUGUGUUUCUGAGCGCUUCCUUUGAUUCAUUGUGUAACAUAUUAAUUUGCUCUUUCUAUUAAUUAUUUUCCAGGUUUUUAAGUGCUUAUUUGAUAAGAUGUUUUUAAUUUUGAAUUGGUUUUGCAGGUUAAGUGAUAUUGAUGCUGAUUGAUUGAAAAAGGGGCGCUGUUAUUCAACAGGUUUUGGAAAAGUUCUGAAGAGUUGCUUUUGAAUUGGGAACUUCCAAAAGAGCUUUUGGAAAAGUCUGUGAAAUUUGCUUCAAACUGCUGUGUUUACAGCUUAUUCCAAUUUUUUUAAUAAAAUUAUUUCUGAUGUAACAGAGACUUUUUGGAUUAUGAACUUAGGGACUGCUUGUAACAUGUACAAAUUUAAUUUGGAAUUUCUCUUUUUGGACAAUUAUGUAAUUGUUUUGGAUUAUUAGGAAUUUGGGAUUAGUUAGGAUAUAUUAAACUGUAAGAAAAAUUGGGUUAGACGUGUAACCCUUUGGAUCAUUUGCAAAAUUUACAUAAUUUUAAUUUAAGUUUUUUUGUUAUUUAUGUGGAUACUUUUGGGUUAUUAUGUAACAUUUGGAUUAAAUAGGAAUAUGAUUUGGGAAUAUUAUUUGUGUAAUUAGUCUCUCUUUCUUUUUUUUUUAAAGAAAAAUUAAACUUUGUCUUAAC
Molecule: long non-coding RNA, 16432 nt
Filed under: Lathyrus oleraceus (garden pea)
Lineage: Eukaryota; Viridiplantae; Streptophyta; Magnoliopsida; Fabales; Fabaceae
Description: Pisum sativum (pea) long non-coding RNA (PSAT_LNC041886)
Source: RNAcentral